UCAUUAUUGAAUAAAUUUGAACAGGCUGUUGCUGGCCCCUCAUGGGUAUGUGCACGCUUGUCAUUUUUGUUUUUCCAACUGUGCACAUAUUGUAGACUCUGGAAGUUUUUUUUUAUUGAUUCAGAUAGAUUGAGGACUAGUUCAAGCUUUUCCUUGUGCUUCCGGGUCUAUGUUACUUUCACAAACUAUGAAACAUGUUUUAGAAUGUUGUAAAAAAAAUGGAAAUAUAUACAACUUUCAGCAACGGAUCUCUUGGCUCUCGCAUCGAUGAAGAACACAGCGAAAUGUGAUAAGUAAUGUGAAUUGCAGAAUUCAGUGAAUCAUCGAAUCUUUGAACGCAUCUUGCGCUCCUUGGUAUUCUGAGGAGCAUGCCUGUUUGAGUGUCAUUAAACUCUCAACUACAUUGAUUUUUUAAAAUUAGUGUAGCUUGGAUUAUGGGGCUUUUGCAGGCUUUUAAAAGUCGGCUUCCCUGAAAUGCAUUAGUGGUAUCUGAGCAGACUACAGGUGUGAUAAAUAUCUAUGCCUUUGCUGAAAACAGAUUACACUGCUUCAAAC
This 555-nucleotide ribosomal RNA is filed under the name Inocybe sp. TO-2011. RNAcentral's name for it is "eukaryotic LSU rRNA". The stretch from base 233 to 386 matches the Rfam family "5.8S ribosomal RNA". The record is from RNAcentral. Lineage: Eukaryota; Fungi; Basidiomycota; Agaricomycetes; Agaricales; Inocybaceae.